UCCUACGGGGGGCAGCAGUGGGGGAUAUUGCCCAAUGGGGGAAACCCUGAUGCAGCGACGCCGCGUGGGUGAAGAAGCGCCUCGGCGCGUAAAGCCCUGUCAGCAGGGAAGAAAAUGACGGUACCUGAAGAAGAAGCCCCGGCUAACUACGUGCCAGCAGCCGCGGUAAUACGUAGGGGGCAAGCGUUAUCCGGAUUUACUGGGUGUAAAGGGGGCGCAGACGGCGAUGCAAGCCAGGAGUGAAAGCCCGGGGCUCAACCCCGGGACUGCUC
RNAcentral lists this ribosomal RNA (272 nucleotides) under uncultured bacterium. RNAcentral's name for it is "partial 16S ribosomal RNA". It matches the Rfam family "Bacterial small subunit ribosomal RNA", at positions 337 to 626 of the family's 1533-position model. The record is from RNAcentral.